This 1491-nucleotide ribosomal RNA is filed under the name uncultured Bordetella sp. RNAcentral describes it as "partial 16S-23S ribosomal RNA intergenic spacer". It matches the Rfam family "Bacterial small subunit ribosomal RNA". The record is from RNAcentral. Lineage: Bacteria; Pseudomonadati; Pseudomonadota; Betaproteobacteria; Burkholderiales; Alcaligenaceae.
GGUUUGAUUCUGGCUCAGAUUGAACGCUGGCGGGAUGCUACAUGCAAGUCGAACGCUUGGCACAGACUUCGGUCUGGUGGCGAGUGGCGAACGGGUGAGUAAUGUAUCGGAACGUACUAGUAGCGGGGGAUAACUACGCGGCGUAGCUAAUACCGCAUACGCCCUUCGGGGGAAAGCGGGGACAACAGACUCCGCACUAUUAAACGGCCGAUAUCGGAUUAGCUAGUUGGUGGGGGUAACGGCUCACCAAGGCGACGAUCGUAGCUGGUUUGAGAGGACGACCAGCCACACUGGGACUGAGACACGGCCCAGACUCCUACGGGAGGCAGCAGUGGGGAAUUUUGGACAAUGGGGGAAACCUGAUCCAGCCAUCCCGCGUGUGCGAUGAAGGCCUUCAGGUUGUAAAGCACUUUUGGCAGGAAAGAAACGGCACGGGAUAUUACCCAUUAAACUGACGGUACCUGCAGAAUAAGCACCGGCUAACUACGUGCCAGCAGCCGCGGUAAUACGUAGGGUGCAAGCGUUAAUCGGAAUUACUGGGCGUAAAGCGUGCGCGAGCGGUUCGGAAAGAAAGAUGUAGAAAUCCCAGAGCUUAACUUUGGAACUGCAUUUUUAACUACCGAGCUAGAGUGUGUCAGAGAGGGAGGUGGAAUUCCGCGUGUAGCAGUGAAAUGCGUAGAUAUGCGGAGGAACACCGAUGGCGAAGGCAGCCUCCUGGGAUAACACUGACGCUCGUACACGAAAGCGUGGGGAGGCAAACAGGAUUAGAUACCCUGGUAGUCCACGCCCUAAACGAUGUCAACUAGCUGUUGGGGCCUUCGGGCCUUGGUAGCGCAGCUAACGCGUGAAGUUGACCGCCUGGGGAGUACGGUCGCAAGAUUAAAACUCAAAGGAAUUGACGGGGACCCGCACAAGCGGUGGAUGAUGUGGAUUAAUUCGAUGCAGCGCGAAAAACCUUACCUACCCUUGACAUGUCUGGAAUCCCGAAGAGAUUUGGGAGUGCUCGCAAGAGAACCGGAACACAGGUGCUGCAUGACUGUCGUCAGCUCGUGUCGUGAGAUGUUGGGUUAAGUCCCGCAACGAGCGCAACCCUUGUCAUUAGUUGCUACGAAAGAGGGCACUCUAAUGAGACUGCCGGUGACAAACCGGAGGAAGGUGGGGAUGACGUCAAGUCCUCAUGGCCCAUAUGGGUAGGGCUUCACACGUCAUACAAUGGUCGGGACAGAGGGUCGCCAACCCGCGAGGGGAGCCAAUCCCAGAAACCCGAUCGUAGUCCGGAUCGCAGUCUGCAACUCGACUGCGUGAAGUCGGAAUCGCUAGUAAUCGCGGAUCAGCAUGUCGCGGUGAAUACGUUCCCGGGUCUAUGCACACCGCCCGUCACACCAUGGGAGUGGGUUUUACCAGAAGUAGUUAGCCUAACCGUAAGGAGGGCGAUUACCACGGUAGGAUUCAUGACUGGGGUGAAGUCGUAACAAGAGUAGCUCUGUUACU